RNA transcript from Acanthochromis polyacanthus (spiny chromis), 2627 nucleotides. It is a transcript of the gene named zinc finger protein 239-like, with no coding region annotated. The transcript is spliced from 3 exons. The record is from RefSeq and is a predicted model, not a curated record. Lineage: Eukaryota; Metazoa; Chordata; Actinopteri; Pomacentridae.
UUUCUGCCGGAACUUCACAGUGUGACACCCGGCGGAUGUAAACAGAGAAGCAUGAGCAGAGUUAGCUUCACUGCUGUGUGGACUGAGCUCUAAAACGGCUGUAUUAUAGUAUGAAGGAGAAAUAUCAGAGCGAGAAAGUAACGAUGUGUUCAGUUGAGUAUCUGAGAGAGUUGAUCAGCGACAGACUAGCUGCUGCUGCUGGAGAAAUAUUCACAGAGUUUGAAAAAAACAUCGUCCAGUACCAGGAGGAGAUCGAUCGUCAGCGCAGACUGCUGGAUGUCAUCUGGAAACCACACAUCCCCUUACAACCCAUAGAGCUCCCACAGUCGUAUGUCUGUGAGAAUGAGAAGACUGUUGUUGACCAUCAGCCCCAUGACCAGGAGAGAAAGUCCAUGGUGGACCAUGAGGACCCAGAGCCUCUACAGAUUAAAGAUCAGCAGGAGGAACUCUGCACCAGUCUGGACCAAUCAAACCCAGAGUUUUCUCAAAUUAAAAUGGAACAGGAAGAAUCGUGCACCAGUCUGGACCAAUCAAACCCAGGGUUACCACAAAUUAAAGUGGAACAGGAUGAACUCUGCUCCAGUCGGGAGGAAGAGUUAAUUGGAUUGAAACAGGAGACUGAUACCUUUGUGGUGACUCCUGCUGAUGAGGAAAGUGACCACAGUGAACCAAAUCCAAACAGUGACCAGCUCCUGUUUCACAUCUCUUGUGUAGCUGAGAGCCCAGAUCAGGAAGGAAGCAAGGAUGUAGACUCAGGAUCAACUAGAUGUAUCGAGCAGAAACCAAGACAUCAGAGUAACAGCAGUCACAGUAAUGAUGUAGACAAUGCUCCAACGUCAGAGAGACAUUGUGAUAAUGACAAGGCAAGAAAAUCUCUACCAUGUGAUGUCUGUGGCAAAGCUUUUAGGCAUAAGUCAAAUUUAUUCAUUCAUCGCAGAACCCACACAGGUGAGAAGCCGUAUUCUUGUGAAACCUGUGGGAAAAGCUUCAGUCAAAGGACCAAUUUGACAGCCCACAUGAGAUGUCACACAGGUGAGAAGCCAUAUGUUUGUAACACUUGUGGAAAAAGAUUUUCUGAUUCAUCAACACAUAGAAGGCACACGGCAAUUCACAAAAAGAGAAAGCCAUAUUCUUGUGGCACCUGUGGAAAAAGCUUCAUUCAACGGACCUCUUUGACUGCUCACAUGAGAAUCCACACAGGUGAGAAGCCAUAUUGUUGUGGAACCUGUGGAAAAAGCUUCAACCGUAGUCAUCGAUUAAAAGCCCACAUGAGAAUCCACACAGCUGAGAAGUCGUGAUCCUGAAACAUUUGUGGAAAACAUGUCAGAACUAAGCUUGAAACAACAUGGAAGAAUUGGUAGAUGUUUUAGUUUUAAAGCACCUUUAGCCUGUGCUUCAACAACAAUUGUGAGGAAGUAUGUCAGCAAUCCUUGAUGAUCAGACCAGAUGGAGUCUGGACUGUGGUGGUGGUGGAGCAGGCAGAAGAACCAAACUGAAUGUCUGGAUGGAUAUGGUAUUGGUACAGACUGCUACAUUUCUGCUAUCAUGACAUCCUUCAUCAGCAGAGCAGUGAUUGGAGAUAUUGUGAAGCUGUUUGGAACAUUUUCACAUCCUGCUGAGAGAACAUGGCUGUUCAGGUGUGAACAUACUGCUGGAAUCCACUCAGCUUGAGCUCUGCCAUCUUUCAAGUAAAAGGAGGCAACGAGAUACUGAGACAUUGUGACAGUAGGACACAACAGAGUGUGUCACUGCAGCAGAGGAGAUCUGGACAUGAAAUAAAGUUGUAAUAAAACGUCUACAUCUCCAUGACUGCUUCAUGAAAUGUUUUGUAUGUUUUCAAACAGAUGAACAUUUACAAGUUGUGUAGUAAUGAAUGUAACAUUGAAGAACCUCAGCAAGACAUAACCAACAUUAUGUUUUUAACCAACACACAAGUGGUUUUACUAGUCGUAGCUGAUACACUCCUGCAAAUGUCAAAACCAGAAAUGUUAAAAACAGGUGAAGCUGUGCUGCAGUUUCUGCUGGUUAGAUAAAGGCCUUAUGCUAUUUAUUUCUUCUAUUGUCACCACAUGGGGGUGGCAUGGAUCAGUGGGUAGAGUGGCCGUCUUGUAACUGGAAGGUUGCCGGUUCGAUCCUCGGCCCAUUGCUCAUGUCAAGGUGUCCCUGAGCAAGACACCAAACCCCUAAUUGCUCCUGAUGGGUUUGUGGUUAGCACCUUGCAUGGCAGCUCCCACCAUCAGCGUGUGAAUGGGUAAAUGUGACAUAUCAUCAUGUGAAGCGCUUGUGAUAAAAGCGCUAUAUAAAUACAACCAUUUACAUCUGUGUGAUUUGUUAGUAGGAUCUCAUUGUGUCAUCAUACAGCACAUUUAAAACAACAGCAAAUGAGUCAAAAUAUUUUCCAAUGGAGAAAUAAGUAUGUUAAGAACUGACCUAACAAUUUUAAAUAAUGAGUCCACAGUAUUAUUAAAUAUGUACAAAUGUCUGACUUAUUCAAAUAUUAAAUUAAAGCUGCUAUAAUAUGUUAUAAAUAUGAAAUGAAAUGUCAUUGUAUAUGAAAAUGUGCAAUGACAAUAAAGGUUUGAUUGACUGAUUGAAAUAUAUAAAAUAAACUAAAGUGACCAACUUCA